RNAcentral lists this long non-coding RNA (402 nucleotides) under Ananas comosus (pineapple). RNAcentral describes it as "long non-coding RNA (ACOM_LNC039643)". Lineage: Eukaryota; Viridiplantae; Streptophyta; Magnoliopsida; Poales; Bromeliaceae. The record is from RNAcentral.
UCAGAGUUGACGGUGGACCCGGAUCGCCUUUUUGGCGACAGAUUGUGCCGAGGGCACGUGAACUGUUGGUUAUUAGACUAGUUAGAGUCGGUUACUUGACUUUGGCUUUUCAGAGCCUGUUUGAGCUCGACAGAGAUACGCUGCAUACUCAGUUGGGUAGCGCCCACGAGUGCCACUCCAGAGACGGCUUUGUGCUUUCGCGUUGGUGUCGCUCAUGCCGGUUGGACUUGCUCUCCACGGACCAGUUAGUGUGGAGGUAGCUGGAUAGUCGCAACUGGGCAGGGACGGGUGUAUUCACAGUCCCAGGGACGGGUAGGCUUACAGUCCCGAUUGGAUUGGGCCAGAUUUGAUAUUUCCUACAGUUGGUUAGUGUAGAGCAUGAUAGUGUAGUGAUUGAUAGCG